UACGGAGGGUGCAAGCGUUGUUCGGAAUUAUUGGGCGUAAAGCGCGCGCAGGCGGACUAUUAAGUCCGGUGUGAAAACCCUCGGCUCAACCGAGGACGUGCAUCGGAAACUGGUGGUCUUGAGUCCUGGAGAGGGUGGCGGAAUUCCCAGUGUAGAGGUGAAAUUCGUAGAUAUUGGGAGGAACACCAGUGGCGAAAGCGGCCACCUGGACAGUGACUGACGCUGAGGCGCGAAAGCGUGGGUAGCAAACAGG
RNAcentral lists this unclassified non-coding RNA (253 nucleotides) under uncultured delta proteobacterium. RNAcentral's name for it is "contains 16S-23S intergenic spacer region". It matches the Rfam family "Bacterial small subunit ribosomal RNA", at positions 524 to 776 of the family's 1533-position model. The record is from RNAcentral. Lineage: Bacteria; Deltaproteobacteria.